This 240-nucleotide long non-coding RNA is filed under the name Elaeis guineensis (African oil palm). RNAcentral describes it as "long non-coding RNA (EGUI_LNC038866)". The record is from RNAcentral. Lineage: Eukaryota; Viridiplantae; Streptophyta; Magnoliopsida; Arecales; Arecaceae.
GUGGGCGCAGAGGAGUCCUUCUCCACUUGAAAUUGUUUCAAGUUGGACAGGAAACCAAUUAAGAUAGACCCAAUCCCAUUAGGUCAAAGAUAAUCGAUCUAAGUUAGCUCAAACACUUCGAUUUAAACUAAUUUAGGAACUUGGGUUAGUACAAUAUGCUAGCAUAUCUAAUUAAUCCAUAUAAUUUAUAUUAAACUCUAAUUAAAUCAGUUCAAGACCAAAUCUUAAAGUGUGUGACCC